UGAGAGAAAAAAUAUUUUUUAAUGAUAUGAUGCGCAACAUGAGUUUGUAAAUAUUAUUUGUUAUUGUAUAUACAUACAUAUAUAUAUAUAUAUAAGUUAGGAGACCAAAAAUAGAAUUUUCUUUAACGUGCAGGGCAUAUAAGAUAUAACUAAAUACAAUAAAAUUCUAAUAGGAAAUAUUUGGGACGUUAGUUGCUAUGUUAAUCAAAUUGAAUUUUGUUAAACAACUUUGAUAGAGAGUAAUGGUACAUCUUUAAUAUCUUUUUCUAAAAAGACGUAAUAAAAUGUAAUUGGAUGUUUUUGUCAUGACAUUUUCUGUAUGGGUUCUGUAAACUCUUUUAUAUAUAUAUAUAUAUAUAUCGAUAGAAAGGGGAGCUUUCAGCCAUUUCCUAAUAACGUGACAAAAUUAUCUGAAAUUAGACUGCGUACCAAUAUUAAAAAAGCAUAUUAUCUAAAGAAAAUACGAUUACAGAAUUACGGAAAUUAGGAAAUGAUUACUGUGAUUUGAUUGGUGUUUAAAUAAAGUCCUUCGGGAGAAAGGAAAGUUGUAUAAAAUUGUGUAAAUAGUCGGUAUGUGUGAACUUAUUAUCCGUGCGCGCGCUCGUAUGUAUGUAUGUAUGUAUGUAUGUAUGAAUGUAUGAAUGUAUGUAUGUAUGUAUGUAUGUAUGUAUGUGUGUAUGUAUGCAUGUAUGUAUGUAUGUAUGUAUGCAUGUAUGUAUGUAUGUAUGUAUGCAUGUAUGUAUGUAUGUAUUUAUGUAUGUAUGUAUAUGUAUAUGUAUAUUUUACAAUAUCAAAGAAUGAAUUUUUACUUGACCAUUAUGAUGUCUAAAUCGAAAGAUUGGGCUUGCUAUUGUCUUAUUGUUUAACGCUAGAUGUAUUAUUCGGAUAAAAAUAAAAAGAUAUUUAUAUUUUGUGUUUUACUGUAUGUAGUCUUUCUAUCGCUAUCGAGAUAAAGUAAUUUAUUUAAAGAAAUACAGAGAGGAAUCAUGUUUCAUAGUAUAUUCAAAAUACACACUGGUUCAUCGUGUUAAUUGUUCGUAUAGAAACAUGUUACUGUUGUCCGACAAAUUUUAGGUCCGACAUAAAAUAAGAAAAAGAAUAGCAAAUUGCAUUUCGCGAAAAAAGGAAACAAAGCGUGUAUAAUUUCAUGGAAGAUCGUUUCGAUACAAGGGAAUAAAGAAGAGGUGGGAGACUAAAAUGACUAGAAUAGGAAAGAGGAUGGUGGUGGAGGAGUAGAAGGAGAAGAAGAAGAAGGCAGGUACAGAGAAGUGAUAAUGUAGGGAAGUUUUGCGGUUGUACAGGGGGAAGAGGUUCUAACAGCGUUCUGUUGAGAGAGAGCGAGUGGUCGCACGUGACGACACAAUGCCAUUUGAAUUGGCCUCCUUGUUAGAAAAUCGGCCAGAGACGGUCACGAUGACGAGGAAAGAUCGUGCUCUGUUCUUCGUAGCUUCGGCCUCUUCAACCUUCCGAAUAGCUUCAUCCUCUCCACCUUCGCUAUCGCAGCAACCCCGAUUUCUUCCUCCACCUCUGAAUCUUUCUUAUUCAUCCUCUUGAUCUUUCCUCUUCUGUUACCCAUACCUUUCGACAUCCCUUUUUCUACCUUUUGCUGCUUUUUCAUACGCGGUGAUCACAAAAUCGAGCACGUCCGAUGCUAAUAACCAGUCAGAUUCCGACACGUACACACGUAAUUGUAAUCUUCUUUUUUUUUUUCUAGUUAUUUCAAAACAGUUCCUCGACGAUAUGGAUGUGUCACAUUAGCGACCGAAAAUUAAGUAAUCAAACGUUUCUAUCAAUUUCCUUGUAUCGCAACCAUUGGUAUACCAUUCAAAGCGUGUUACAAAAAUUUGCAUGUAUUGUUAGAUAACGUUUGCAAGGCGACGCAAUUUGUCGAUGAUUCAUCGUUGUAAUCGCAUCCGCAUAUUCAAGGAAGAUAUUACAGCUGUUACAUAAUGUUUAACGCGAUGAGUGAAAAUUAAUGAUUUAAUGCGGAUACAAAAUUAUUAUGGAACAGCGUAACAACUGAUACCGGAUCGACACGCUAAGCGUUGUCGGAGGAAGGAAAGCGAUGGAAAAGCAAUUGAAGAUACAAAUCCGAAGAUUCGAAGAAUAUGCUUUUUAAAAUUCAACUCACGAUAUUGGAUAAAGGAAAUGAUAUUGCGAUAAUUAGUGCACGUGAUGCGAGAUUGUGGAUCAAGAUACGAGAUCAAUGAUGAUCGUACCGCGUGUAUAUUUAAGCGUGUACAUACAUAUUUCUUGCUAAUAAUCAGAUGUCGUUGUGAUCGAA
Bombus pyrosoma is the source of this 2284-nucleotide long non-coding RNA. RefSeq lists it as uncharacterized. NCBI's taxonomy places the organism in Eukaryota, Metazoa, Arthropoda, Insecta, Hymenoptera, Apidae. The record is from RefSeq and is a predicted model, not a curated record. The transcript is spliced from 2 exons.